UAAGACGAGCCACACAAACGUUAUUCGGAAUUACUGGGCUUAAAGGGUGCGUAGGCGGCGCGGAAAGUUGGGUGUGAAAUCCCUCGGCUCAACCGAGGAAUUGCGCUCAAAACUACCGUGCUCGAGGGAGAUAGAGGAGUGCGGAACUUAGGGUGGAGCGGUGAAAUGCGUUGAUAUCCUAGGGAACACCGGUGGCGAAAGCGGCACUCUGGAUCUCAUCUGACGCUGAUGCACGAAAGCUAGGGUAGCAAACGGGAUUAGAUACCCCGGUAGUCCUAGCCGUAAACGAUGAGCACUGGAUUGAAGGCCCCCUCAUAGGCUUUCAGUCGCAGAGAAAUUGUUUAGUGCUCCGCCUGGGGAGUAUGGUCGCAAGGCUG
This 377-nucleotide ribosomal RNA is filed under the name uncultured bacterium. RNAcentral's name for it is "bacterial SSU rRNA". It matches the Rfam family "Bacterial small subunit ribosomal RNA", at positions 521 to 896 of the family's 1533-position model. The record is from RNAcentral.